CCUACGGGGGGCAGCAGUGGGGAAUAUUGGGCAAUGGGCGCAAGCCUGACCCAGCAACGCCGCGUGAAGGAAGAAGGCUUUCGGGUUGUAAACUUCUUUUCUCAGGGACGAAGAAAGUGACGGUACCUGAGGAAUAAGCCACGGCUAACUACGUGCCAGCAGCCGCGGUAAUACGGAGGUGGCAAGCGUUAUUCGGAUUUACGGGGUGUAAAGGGCGUGUAGGCGGGAAAGCAAGUCAGAUGUGAAAACCAUGGGGUCAACCUGUGGACUGCAUUUGAAACUGUUUGUCUUGAGUACUGGAGAGGCAGACGGAAUUCCUGGUGUAGCGGUGAAAUGCGUAGAUAUCAGGAGGAACACCAGUGGCGAAGGCGGUCUGCUGGACAGCAACUGACGCUGAGGCGCGAAAGCGUGGGGAGCGAACAGGAUUAGAUACCCCAGUAGUC
Molecule: ribosomal RNA, 443 nt
Filed under: uncultured bacterium
Lineage: Bacteria
Description: partial 16S ribosomal RNA
Rfam family: Bacterial small subunit ribosomal RNA
Source: RNAcentral